This 467-nucleotide ribosomal RNA is filed under the name uncultured bacterium. RNAcentral describes it as "bacterial SSU rRNA". It matches the Rfam family "Bacterial small subunit ribosomal RNA", at positions 337 to 795 of the family's 1533-position model. The record is from RNAcentral.
GCCUACGGGGGGCUGCAGUGAGGAAUUAUGCGCAAUGGGGGAAACCCUGACGCUGCGACGCCGCGUGGGUGAUGAAGGUCUUCGGAUCGUAAAACCCUGUCGAGAGGGACGAAUAGCUUGGGUGUUAAUACCAUCCAAGCCUGACUGUACCUCUGGAGGAAGCCCCGGCUAACUCCGUGCCAGCAGCCGCGGUAAUACGGAGGGGGCGAGCGUUGUUCGGAAUUACUGGGCGUAAAGCGCGCGUAGGCGGGCGUGCAAGUGCGCUGGGAAAGCCCUCGGCUCAACCGAGGAACUGCGUCCGAUACUGCUCGACUUGAGUCCGGUAGGGGAUGGCAGAAUUCCCGGUGUAGCGGUGGAAUGCGUAGAUAUCGGGAGGAAUACCGAUGGCGAAGGCGGCCAUCUGGGCCGGAACUGACGCUGAGGCGCGAAAGCUAGGGGAGCAAACAGGAUUAGAUACCCGAGUAGUC